Molecule: ribosomal RNA, 539 nt
Filed under: Amolops daiyunensis (Daiyun torrent frog)
Lineage: Eukaryota; Metazoa; Chordata; Amphibia; Anura; Ranidae
Description: partial 16S ribosomal RNA
Rfam family: Bacterial large subunit ribosomal RNA
Source: RNAcentral
GUCCAGCCUGCCCAGUGAUAUAAUUCAACGGCCGCGGUACCCUAACCGUGCGAAGGUAGCAUAAUCACUUGUUCUUUAAAUAAGGACUUGUAUCAACGGCAUCACGAGGACUGUACUGUCUCCUUUCUCCAAUCAGUGAAACUGAUCUCCCCGUGAAGAAGCGGGGAUUAACCUAUAAGACGAGAAGACCCCAUGGAGCUUAAAGCCCACACAACUCUAUGCACUUAAAUCAAUACAGCCCAAGAAACCUGCAAACGGCUUUAGGUUGGGGGGACCGCGGAGUAAAAACUAACCUCCACGACAAACGGGCCUACGCCCUUAUCCAAGAAUGACAAUUCUAAGAAUCAAUAAACUGAUGUUUAAUGACCCGAUUAUUCGAUCAACGAACCAAGUUACCCUGGGGAUAACAGCGCAAUCUACUUCAAGAGCCCCUAUCAACAAGUAGGUUUACGACCUCGAUGUUGGAUCAGGGUAUCCUAGUGGUGCAGCCGCUACUAAAGGUUCGUUUGUUCAACGAUUAAAACCCUACGUGAUCUGGU